RNAcentral lists this ribosomal RNA (379 nucleotides) under uncultured Pleosporales. Its description in RNAcentral is "eukaryotic LSU rRNA". It matches the Rfam family "Eukaryotic large subunit ribosomal RNA", at positions 271 to 667 of the family's 3401-position model. Lineage: Eukaryota; Fungi; Ascomycota; Dothideomycetes; Pleosporales. The record is from RNAcentral.
UGUUUGGGAAUGCAGCUCUAAAUGGGAGGUACAUUUCUUCUAAAGCUAAAUAUUGGCCAGAGACCGAUAGCGCACAAGUAGAGUGAUCGAAAGAUGAAAAGCACUUUGGAAAGAGAGUCAAACAGCACGUGAAAUUGUUGAAAGGGAAGCGCUUGCAGCCAGACUUGCUUACAGUUGCUCAUCCGGGCUUUUGCCCGGUGCACUCUUCUGUAGGCAGGCCAGCAUCAGUUUGGGCGGUAGGAUAAAGGUCUCUGUCACGUACCUCUCUUCGGGGAGGCCUUAUAGGGGAGACGACAUACUACCAGCCUGGACUGAGGUCCGCGCAUCUGCUAGGAUGCUGGCGUAAUGGCUGUAAGCGGCCCGUCUUGAAACACGGACC